AAGUAAAAGUCGUAACAAGGUUUUCGUUGGUGAACCAUGGAGGGAUCAUUA
RNAcentral lists this ribosomal RNA (51 nucleotides) under Beauveria bassiana. RNAcentral's name for it is "partial small subunit ribosomal RNA". The record is from RNAcentral. Lineage: Eukaryota; Fungi; Ascomycota; Sordariomycetes; Hypocreales; Cordycipitaceae.